CUUGGACCAGCCGGCAGCAGUUCAGGAAGCCGCAGCAGAAAUGUAGGGGAAAAGGCCCAUGGGUGCUCAUACCUUUAUAAAAAGACUGAGGUUCCCAGAGCUAAGAAACUUGCCUGAGAGAAAGGAGGAGAAGCAGUCCACAUGUGUUAUACUCAAUUCCUGACAGCCCAGAUGCCUCACGUGGAAUCCCUGAAAUGGUAGUGAUUAACACCAAAGAUUGGGCUGUUCUGGGUCUUUAUCCAUCACCUGAAGCCAGCUAGAAAAUGGCAAAAUCUCUGGGUAAUGACUGCACACAACCAAUUCCACCCACCUCAAGGGAGGCCCGGCUACAAGCUGCAGCUUUAGGGAAGGUUCUCAUUAGGAUCUUUCAGUUCGAGACUGUGUACUAUAUGACACACUGAAGUCAGUCACUGGCCCAAGACUACCCAGAUGAGAGAGAGCCUGGCAUCUCUCUUCUCCACAGAAUCAUCUUCUGAAGUUUGCUACUCUGGCACCUGGCCUUCCAAGGGUUGAGUGGGAAUCUGAG
Nannospalax galili (Upper Galilee mountains blind mole rat) is the source of this 526-nucleotide long non-coding RNA. RefSeq lists it as uncharacterized. Lineage: Eukaryota; Metazoa; Chordata; Mammalia; Rodentia; Spalacidae. The transcript is spliced from 3 exons. The record is from RefSeq and is a predicted model, not a curated record.